This 460-nucleotide ribosomal RNA is filed under the name uncultured bacterium. RNAcentral describes it as "partial 16S ribosomal RNA". It matches the Rfam family "Bacterial small subunit ribosomal RNA", at positions 338 to 795 of the family's 1533-position model. The record is from RNAcentral.
CCUACGGGUGGCAGCAGUGAGGAAUAUUGGUCAAUGGGCGGAAGCCUGAACCAGCCAAGUAGCGUGAAGGAUGACUGCCCUAUGGGUUGUAAACUUCUUUUAUAUGGGAAUAAAAUGUUCCACGUGUGGGAUUUUGUAUGUACCAUAUGAAUAAGGAUCGGCUAACUCCGUGCCAGCAGCCGCGGUAAUACGGAGGAUCCGAGCGUUAUCCGGAUUUAUUGGGUUUAAAGGGAGCGUAGGUGGUUUUUUAAGUUAGUGGUGAAAGUUUGCGGCUCAACCGUAAAAUUGCAGUUGAAACUGGCAGUCUUGAGUACAGAAGAGGUGGGCGGAAUUCGUGGUGUAGCGGUGAAAUGCUUAGAUAUCACGAAGAACACCGAUUGCGAAGGCAGCUCACUGGACUGCAACUGACACUGAGGCUCGAAAGUGUGGGUAUCAAACAGGAUUAGAUACCCCAGUAGUC